RNAcentral lists this non-coding RNA (21 nucleotides) under Arabidopsis thaliana (thale cress). Lineage: Eukaryota; Viridiplantae; Streptophyta; Magnoliopsida; Brassicales; Brassicaceae. The record is from RNAcentral.
UCAAACAAAGGGGUGUCUGCA